Molecule: ribosomal RNA, 494 nt
Filed under: uncultured bacterium
Lineage: Bacteria
Description: partial 16S ribosomal RNA
Rfam family: Bacterial small subunit ribosomal RNA
Source: RNAcentral
UGAACGCUGGCGGCGUGCCUACUACAUGCACGUCGAGCGAACAGACGAGGAGCUUGCUCCUCUGCCGUUAGCGGCGGACGGGUGAGUAACACGUGGAUAACCUACCUAUAAGACUGGGAUAACUUCGGGAAACCGGAGCUAAUACCGGAUAAUAUAUUGAACCGCAUGGUUCAAUAGUGAAAGACGGUUUUGCUGUCACUUAUAGAUGGAUCCGCGCCGCAUUAGCUAGUUGGUAAGGUAACGGCUUACCAAGGCAACGAUGCGUAGCCGACCUGAGAGGGGGAACGGCACCCGGGAAAGUACACCACCGUACAGGCCCUGAGGGACGGCAAAGGAUGGUAAUCGAGCAAAAAGGGCGACAGCUUGAGGAAGAAACGCCGCGGGGGUGACGAAGGUCUGCGGGUCGGAAAACGCUUUUUAUGGGGAAACACAAUUUGAAAAGUAAAUAAGGCCGCCUGGAGGGACCUAAAAAAGAAGCCCCCGGAAACUUACGG